This 82-nucleotide transfer RNA is filed under the name Gemmatimonadota bacterium. RNAcentral describes it as "Gemmatimonadetes bacterium (soil metagenome) tRNA-Leu". It matches the Rfam family "tRNA". From Rfam's summary of the family: Transfer RNA (tRNA) molecules are approximately 80 nucleotides in length. Their secondary structure includes four short double-helical elements and three loops (D, anti-codon, and T loops). Further hydrogen bonds mediate the characteristic L-shaped molecular structure. tRNAs have two regions of fundamental functional importance: the anti-codon, which is responsible for specific mRNA codon recognition, and the 3' end, to which the tRNAs corresponding amino acid is attached (by aminoacyl-tRNA synthetases). tRNAs cope with the degeneracy of the genetic code in two manners: having more than one tRNA (with a specific anti-codon) for a particular amino acid; and 'wobble' base-pairing, i.e. permitting non-standard base-pairing at the 3rd anti-codon position. Lineage: Bacteria; Pseudomonadati; Gemmatimonadota. RNAcentral also lists the same sequence under 1 other name. The record is from RNAcentral.
GCCUGGGUGGUGAAAUCGGCAAACACAGAGGACUUAAAAUCCUCCGCCUCGCGGCUUACGGGUUCGAGUCCCGUCCCAGGCA